Molecule: ribosomal RNA, 465 nt
Filed under: uncultured bacterium
Lineage: Bacteria
Description: bacterial SSU rRNA
Rfam family: Bacterial small subunit ribosomal RNA
Source: RNAcentral
GAUGAACGCUGGCGGCGUGCUUAACACAUGCAAGUCGAACGAAGCUGCUUAACUGAUCUUCUUCGGAAUUGAUGUUUUGUAGACUGAGUGGCGGACGGGUGAGUAACGCGUGGGUAACCUACCCUGUACAGGGGGAUAACAGUCAGAAAUGACUGCUAAUACCGCAUAAGACCACAGCACCGCAUGGUGCAGGGGUAAAAGCUCCGGUGGUACAGGAUGGACCCGCGUCUGAUUAGCUGGUUGGUGAGGUAACGGCUCACCAAGGCGACGAUCAGUAGCCGGCUUGAGAGAGUGAACGGCCACAUUGGGACUGAGACACGGCCCAAACUCCUACGGGAGGCAGCAGUGGGGAAUAUUGCACAAUGGGGGAAACCCUGAUGCAGCGACGCCGCGUGAGUGAAGAAGUAUCUCGGUAUGUAAAGCUCUAUCAGCAGGGAAGAAAAUGACGGUACCUGACUAAGAAGC